AAAAACUGAAAUUGGAAAGACACAAGGGUUAGAGGUUUGUAAUCCUUUCUCCUUAAAGAAUUAAUUUCUUCUGUUAAUCCAUCAUCAUCAAUCUAGACAGAGAAAAGAAGAUUAAAUUUAACAAAUCAACAAGAAGAGAGAAAAAAAAAUCCAACAUAUUACAAAAUGUCAAAAGAGAAACAAGAACAAAAACAAUGAGUCACAAUUCACAAGAGAGAAAAAAAAAAGAAAAUAGAAAAACAUUAAUUUCUUUAAUUGUUUUCUUUUUCUUUCCAAUGUGAUUGAAGAUUAGAAAAUUAAUUUUCUUCACUCAUCCAUUUGUCUGUUAAUCAUCAGCAAUCAUAAGUCAUAAUCUCCACCAAGUGAUACCAACAGGAUAAUCCAAAAGUUAAUAAGAUGCCAUUGGAAAACCGAAAAGAGAUUCAAAAUGGAAAAUGAAAACAAAGACCAAUUGAUCAAUUCCAAAGGAAGUCAAGAGGACCCAUGAAGGAAAAAAAAACUCAGAGAAAAUGACUAAAGGUAAGAGAGAGAGAAAAGAAAAACAUUGAAAGUCAAAUUAACCUGGAAAUUGAAGCCUAAAUGGUAAGAUGAUAUUACCUUGUUGACCGAAUAGUUGAGACUUUGUUCAUCUUGUAUUCCAUUUUAUUCAUGAUUGUUGAUCAUCUUCAUGGAACAAUAUUGAUCGUUAAGAUGUUCCAAAGUUAUCAUCAUCUUUUCUCUCCAACAUUAACCGUUAUUCUUACCAAUAUAUGAAAGAAGAGGAUCUUGAGUAAAGAAGACAAAAAGAUGAGCAAGAUGAACACUCAUAAGGAAAAGGUCAACAAAUGAAAUCAAGUGGAUCCAUAUUCAAGUUAAUAUAUUUGGGUGAUAACAACAAGGAAUUCAUUGAUAUUGUCUUUUGUUUUCGCUGUUGAAUAGUGUGACUAUUUUAACCAGAGAUUAUCUCUUGUUUAUGGUGAUGGUGAUUUACUUACGUAGUAUCUUGAGUACUCGGAAUAUUAUUCAACGUUAACUUUAACGACUAUUGUUGGUACACACACUCCAUCAAAUUUAUGGAAAGACAUCAAACUUAUCAUUGUUAACAAGACAUAUUAUACCAUGAGAGAUGAAAUAUAUCAUGAUGAUAUUAGUAUGACAAUCAUAAGAAAGUGUAUAAAGUAUUUCAAGAAAAAGAAUCAUCGUCUUUACUAUUAACAAGGAGCAUUUCCAAAGGAGGAGGAAAAAGAAAAGAGGUGAGUUUAGUGUAUCAGCCUCUCUUUCUCUCUACCUCCAUCUUAGUGUGAACAGUUCACUUGACUCGAAGAAGUCAAUGAAUUCGAAAGAAUGAGACCCAAAAAAGGUGGAGAAUAAAUCUUUUUGCGAGAAAAAAAAGGAAAAAGAAACAUCAAAGUUACUUAAAAUGAAUUUUUGGCAAUAUGGAGGAGAAAGAAUCAAACUCACACCGAGAAUAUUUCAUGAAACAUUGUAACUGUUCAUCAAUAUACUCACAAUGAAACUCAAUCUAACUGUUGGAAAAUCAUCUCCCCUGAAAUCUCAUUCAACUGAUUCAUGUUGAUUACAACCUAUGGAAUCCAGGAAAGCAGAAGCAAAAUAUCAUAAGUACCACCCAAAAAUACUCAUGGAAAAAAAAGUUUUCACCGAAAAUUGAUAAAAAGCUACAAUUCCAAUAGGAAUCCAUUCAUACGCCUCAAGAGUUACUUAAAUAACUUUUUGUAUAUUAACUCAUGAAGAUGAUAAUGAUGAUAAUAUUUUCACCAUACAAUUUACAAAUAGUUACAUCAUCAACUUGAAUAAUAACAUAUGAUAACUAUCACUUUAUGAGGUGGAUACAAAAAGCAUUUCCUUUUCACCAUGAGAAUUUCCCUCUCUCCGAAUUUCACCUUCCCCAUCCUACCACCUUCAUCGCUCACCAUUCAUACCUUUUUCUCAUAUAAUUAUCAUGACUACCACUCUAUUCAUGAAGAGUUAUCAUUUUGUUCAUUUCAAUGUUGGAUGUGUAUUCUGAUUCCCCAUGAAAAGAGAGAAAGAGGGAAAAUCUUUCACCAAACAAAUUCUUGUUUAUUUAUGUAUCCAAUCUCUUUUCUGUGAAUUACUUUCGCUCGACAAAUCAUCAGAAUGUCUCAUUGAUGGAGAAGAGAGAGAGAGAGAGAACAAGAAUAUAAUAUGAUGAAUUCAGAGAGAAAUUCACUGUUUUCAACUGAAUUUCUAAAGAAAAAGAUCUAAAAAGAUGAAGAGAUUCACAUGGAAAAGAAUAUACACUUUGUACUCGAUAACAUGAUAAAUAAUCUCUGGUGGUUCCAAAUUUCUAUCGUUUACAAUUUAAUUGCUCAUCUUAUGGAUAAUUGGAAAAUGAUGAUAAUAUCGAUAAUACUGAUUUUAGUUUAUCAAUACAAAGGAAAAUACGAAAACUGUUAAAUUUAAAUGAUGCCCUGAAGGUGAACCGCAAUUAUUAAUAAUAUUAUCUUUUAAUAAAUUUCACGAAAAACGGAAAUGAAAUGUUUUCCAUCAAGUGAAACGAUUAUAAUCAAAGUUAAACGCUCGCAAUUGAAACUGACAUGAUUGUUUAUUUGAGUGUAAAGUUGACACUCUGUAGAUGAUGUUGAUAGUAAACUAUGGCUGAUAAAAUAGCCCUGAGGUGAUAAUGAUGAUGGUGAAAACUGCAAUCAUCUCCCACAUACAUAUGAAUGAAUGAUUUCAAGUUUGACCCAAUUUCCUGUUGAGAAAAAAUUUUCACAAGUUAAUCAAAUUGCAACCAAAUAAUAAUUUCAUAAUUUACAAUCAAAGAAACAUCAACACGAAACUCACUAAAUCACCAAUUCCAUGAUAAUAGACACUCGAUGAGAUGCAGAAGAGAAAAUAAUAAGAGACAUUUCCAAUUCUCUUCUCGCUUGUAAUGGUCAAAACUAUGCAAAUGACCAUUAGCGAUCUUGUAACAAUCAAUGACACCUUAUAUUGGAUAAUAAAACAACCGCAACAUACACUUAAUCUUUUCAUA
This is a long non-coding RNA of Panonychus citri (citrus red mite), 2995 nucleotides long. RefSeq lists it as uncharacterized. NCBI's taxonomy places the organism in Eukaryota, Metazoa, Arthropoda, Arachnida, Trombidiformes, Tetranychidae. The record is from RefSeq and is a predicted model, not a curated record. The transcript is spliced from 7 exons.